CAUAGCCGCCCCCCAUCCCGCAGGCUCCCCCAGAGGAGAAGCGGGAGGAGGUGACUGACAGGCCCCCAUAGGUGCUGGGCGCCCGGCAGGAUCCUCCGGCCAGGACAGAGGAGAUGCGGCUGGAGCCACCACCAAUGCCACAGGAGCCCUUCAUGGAGCUGGAGGAGGUGAACUGGCGGCUGCAGGUGGUCAUGGUGCCAAGGAGGAGGUGAGUGAGAGAGUGAGUGAGCGAGCGAGCGAGUCGGCAGAGGGAAGAGAAAGGUGCUCAGGGCGGCUGAGAGGAUGCUGUGGCGGCUCAAUCCCCAGGAUC
Molecule: long non-coding RNA, 310 nt
Filed under: Ictidomys tridecemlineatus (thirteen-lined ground squirrel)
Lineage: Eukaryota; Metazoa; Chordata; Mammalia; Rodentia; Sciuridae
Description: lncRNA (ENSSTOG00000031876.1)
Source: RNAcentral